Molecule: ribosomal RNA, 468 nt
Filed under: uncultured bacterium
Lineage: Bacteria
Description: partial 16S ribosomal RNA
Rfam family: Bacterial small subunit ribosomal RNA
Source: RNAcentral
GACGAACGCUGGCGGCGUGCUUAACACAUGCAAGUCGAACGGAAAGGCCCUGCUUUUGUGGGGUGCUCGAGUGGCGAACGGGUGAGUAACACGUGAGUAACCUGCCCUUGACUUUGGGAUAACUUCAGGAAACUGGGGCUAAUACCGGAUAGGAGCUCCUGCUGCAUGGUGGGGGUUGGAAAGUUUCGGCGGUUGGGGCUGGACUCGCGGCUUAUCAGCUUGUUGGUGGGGUAGUGGCUUACCAAGGCUUUGACGGGUAGCCGGCCUGAGAGGGUGACCGGCCACAAUGGGACUGCGAUACGGACCAGACUGCUACGGGAGGCAGCAGUGGGGAAUAUUGCACAAUGGGCGGAAGCCUGAUGCAGCGACGCCGCGUGCGGGAUGACGGCCUUCGGGUUGUAAACCGCUUUCGCCUGUGACGAAGCGUGAGUGACGGUAAUGGGUAAAGAAGCACCGGCUAACUACGUG